UGGCAUGUAGCUCAGCGGUAGAGCGGUCGGCUGUUAACCGACUUGUCGUGGGUUCAAUUCCCACCUUGCCAG
This is a transfer RNA of Firmicutes bacterium CAG:882, 72 nucleotides long. It matches the Rfam family "tRNA". Rfam says of the family: Transfer RNA (tRNA) molecules are approximately 80 nucleotides in length. Their secondary structure includes four short double-helical elements and three loops (D, anti-codon, and T loops). NCBI's taxonomy places the organism in Bacteria, Bacillati, Bacillota. The record is from Rfam.